RNAcentral lists this transfer RNA (74 nucleotides) under Trichocoleus sp. FACHB-262. It matches the Rfam family "tRNA". From Rfam's summary of the family: Transfer RNA (tRNA) molecules are approximately 80 nucleotides in length. The record is from Rfam by way of RNAcentral. Lineage: Bacteria; Bacillati; Cyanobacteriota; Cyanophyceae; Leptolyngbyales; Trichocoleusaceae. RNAcentral also lists the same sequence under 4 other names.
GGGGUUGUAGCUCAGAUGGAUAGAGCGAUCGCCUCCUAAGCGAUAGGCCGCGGGUUCGAAUCCCGCCAAUCCCG